RNAcentral lists this transfer RNA (66 nucleotides) under uncultured Bacteroides sp. It matches the Rfam family "tRNA", at positions 5 to 66 of the family's 71-position model. Rfam says of the family: Transfer RNA (tRNA) molecules are approximately 80 nucleotides in length. The record is from RNAcentral. Lineage: Bacteria; Pseudomonadati; Bacteroidota; Bacteroidia; Bacteroidales; Bacteroidaceae.
GCUGUAGUUCAGUUGGUCAGAGCGUCAGAUUGUGGUUCUGAAUGUCGUGGGUUCGAACCCCAUCAG